ACGGGAGGCAGCAGUGGGGAAUUUUGGACAAUGGGCGCAAGCCUGAUCCAGCCAUGCCGCGUGAGUGAAGAAGGCCUUCGGGUUGUAAAGCUCUUUCGGCGGGGACGAAACGGUCCGUGCCAACACCACGGACUAAUGACGGUACUCGCAGAAGAAGCACCGGCUAACUACGUGCCAGCAGCCGCGGUAAUACGUAGGGUGCAGGCGUUAAUCGGAAUUACUGGGCGUAAAGCGUGCGCAGGCGGCUCCCUAAGUCAGAUGUGAAAGCCCCGGGCUUAACCUGGGAACUGCGUUUGAAACUGGGGAGCUAGAGUGUGGAAGAGGGGGGUGGAAUUCCAUGUGUAGCAGUGAAAUGCGUAGAGAUAUGGAGGAACACCGAUGGCGAAGGCAGCCCCCUGGGCUAACACUGACGCUCAUGCACGAAAGCGUGGGGAGCAAACAGGAUUAGAUACCCUGGUA
This 459-nucleotide ribosomal RNA is filed under the name uncultured beta proteobacterium. RNAcentral describes it as "bacterial SSU rRNA". It matches the Rfam family "Bacterial small subunit ribosomal RNA", at positions 341 to 792 of the family's 1533-position model. Lineage: Bacteria; Pseudomonadati; Pseudomonadota; Betaproteobacteria. The record is from RNAcentral.